GCAUGCAGCUAUACCAGCCUCUAUGAACCCAAUCCCGUCAGAUCUUGGAAACUAUGCAGAGCGGGGCUUGGUUAGGCCUUGGAUGGGACACUAUCCUGGAAUGCUGGGUGCUAUAUGCC
RNAcentral lists this ribosomal RNA (119 nucleotides) under Nothoprocta perdicaria. Lineage: Eukaryota; Metazoa; Chordata; Aves; Tinamiformes; Tinamidae. The record is from RNAcentral.